AUAACGCUGGCGGCAUGCUUACACCUCAAGUUAACGGCAGCACGGGAGCAAUCCUGGUGGCGAGUGGCGAACGGGUGAGUAAUAUAUCGGAACGUGCCCAGUCGUGGGGGAUAACGCAGCGAAAGCUGUGCUAAUACCGCAUACGAUCUAUGGAUGAAAGCGGGGGAUCGCAAGACCUCGCGCGAUUGGAGCGGCCGAUAUCAGAUUAGCUAGUUGGUGGGGUAAAGGCCCACCAAGGCGACGAUCUGUAGCUGGUCUGAGAGGACGACCAGCCACACUGGAACUGAGACACGGUCCAGACUCCUACGGGAGGCAGCAGUGGGGAAUUUUGGACAAUGGGCGCAAGCCUGAUCCAGCAAUGCCGCGUGCAGGAUGAAGGCCUUCGGGUUGUAAACUGCUUUUGUACGGAACGAAACGGUGAGCUCUAAUAAAGCUUGCUAAUGACGGUACCGUAAGAAUAAGCACCGGCUAACUACGUGCCAGCAGCCGCGGUAAUACGUAGGGUGCGAGCGUUAAUCGGAAUUACUGGGCGUAAAGCGUGCGCAGGCGGUUAUAUAAGACAGAUGUGAAAUCCCCGGGCUCAACCUGGGACCUGCAUUUGUGACUGUAUAGCUAGAGUACGGUAGAGGGGGAUGGAAUUCCGCGU
Molecule: ribosomal RNA, 646 nt
Filed under: uncultured Comamonadaceae bacterium
Lineage: Bacteria; Pseudomonadati; Pseudomonadota; Betaproteobacteria; Burkholderiales; Comamonadaceae
Description: bacterial SSU rRNA
Rfam family: Bacterial small subunit ribosomal RNA
Source: RNAcentral